GGCAGGGUGCUGAUGGGUGCCGUUUCAAACCUUUAGCUAGACACCGAGUGCUGAUUGGUGCUUACAGUCCUUUAGCCAGACAGAAAGUUCUCCAAGUCCCCACUGCACCCAGAAGCCCAGCCGGUUUCACCUCUCACCGGGGCUCUGCGGCACUCAGCCCAGGCGCUCAGGCAGCCCAGAGGGAGCUAGUCCCUGAUCAACUCCAGCAGGCGCCGGCUGGCCGAGCCGAGUGCGGGGCCCACUGAGCCUGCGCCAACCCAGAACCCGCGCCUGCCCGGGAACGCGGCGCGCAGUUCGGGCUCCCGCCGGCACCUCUCCCUUCACACCUUCCGGUGAGCAGAGGGAGCUGGCUCCGGCAUCGGCCAGCCCCACAGAGGGGCCCUCAUAGCGCAGCGGCAGGCUGAAGGGCUCCUGGCGUGUGGCCAGAGCGGAGGCCCAGGAGGCGCUGAAAGCGAGCCAGGGCUGCUAGCACGUUUUCACCUCUCAUCACUACUAUCAUGAUCACUACUAUCAUAUUUAUAUGUGAGAAGUGCCUUUUGCCUCCUGCCAUAAUUCUGAGGCCUCCCCAGCCAUGUGGAAAUCAUGGAAGUCCUGGUGAAUUAUCACACACUCCUAAUGUGCUGAGAAAUACCACUUUCAAGACACUGAGAUAUAAAACCACUUAAAA
Pan troglodytes (chimpanzee) is the source of this 667-nucleotide long non-coding RNA. RefSeq lists it as uncharacterized. The transcript has 3 exons. The record is from RefSeq and is a predicted model, not a curated record. NCBI's taxonomy places the organism in Eukaryota, Metazoa, Chordata, Mammalia, Primates, Hominidae.